RNAcentral lists this ribosomal RNA (2864 nucleotides) under human gut metagenome. RNAcentral's name for it is "bacterial LSU rRNA". It matches the Rfam family "Bacterial large subunit ribosomal RNA". The record is from RNAcentral.
CUAAGAGCGUAGGGUGAAUGCCUUGGCACCAAGAGCCGAUGAAGGACGUGAUAAGCUGCGAAAAGCUGUGAGUAGGAGCAAAUAUCCAUUUAAUCACAGAUGUCCGAAUGAGGGAACUCAGGUCGUGGAAAAAGACGGCCUAUCUAUACAUGAGUAAAGUAGUGUAUAGAGGGGAACGUGGGGAACUGAAACAUCUAAGUACCCACAGGAAAAGAAAGAAAACUCGAUUCCUAAAGUAGUGGCGAGCGAAAUAGGAAGAGCCUAAACCAGAAGAAGUAAUUCAUCUGGGGUUAUGGACUACAUAAUUGAUUCAAGAGAUUUAGCAGAAUUGUUUGGAAAGACAGACCAAAGAUAGUGAAAGUCUAGUAUGCGAAAAAUCAAUUGACAUGGUAGUAUCCGGAGUAGUGCGAGACACGUGAAAUCUCGUAUGAAGAUUGGGGGACCACCCCCAAAGGCUAAAUACUACUUGGUGACCGAUAGUGAAGCAGUACCGUGAGGGAAAGGUGAAAAGAACCCCGGGAGGGGAGUGAAAAAGAACCUGAAACCCUAUGUUUACAAGCAGAUAGAGCACGUUAAGGUGCGAUAUCGUACUUUUUGUAGAACGGUCCGGCGAGUUAUUUUAUAUGGCAAGAUUAAGUACUUAAGGUACGAAGUCGAAGAGAAAUCGAGUCUGAAAAGGGCGAAAAAGUCAUAUGAAAUAGACCCGAAACCGAGUGACCUAUCCAUGGUCAGGAUGAAGCUUGAGUAAAAUCAAGUGGAGGUCCGAACUCAUAAGCGUUAAAAAGCUUCGGGAUGAACUGUGGAUAGCGGAGAAAUUCCAAUCGAACUCGGAGAUAGCUGGUUCUCCUCGAAAUAGCUUUAGGGCUAGCCUUGUUUAGUAGCAUGUGGAGGUAAAGCACUGAAUAUGUGAGGGUUCUUACCAGAAUACCGAUCAUUAUCAAACUCUGAAUGCCAUGUGUGUAAGAACAGGAGUCAGACAGUGACAGCUAAGUGCCAUUGUCAAAAGGGAAAGAGCCCAGACCAACAGCUAAGGUCCCAAAAUUGUAGUUAAGUGGAAAAGGAUGUGGGAAUUCAUAGACAACCAGGAUGUUGGCUCAGAAGCAGCCAUUCAUUUAAAGAGUGCGUAAAAGCUCACUGGUCGAAGUAGGCCUGCGCCGAAAAUUACCGGGGCUAAACUACAUACCGAAGCUUUGGAUUUGGUACGUAAAGUAUUAAGUGGUAGAGGAGCGUUGUAUAAAGGUUGAAGCUAUACUGAAAAGAGUAGUGGACGAUAUACAAGAGAGAAUGCCGGAAUAAGUAGCGAGAGCACAGUGAGAAUCUGUGCCGCCGAAAACCUAAGGUUUCCUGGGGAAGGUUCGUCCGCCCAGGGUAAGUCGGGACCUAAGACGAGGCUAAAGCAGCGUAGUCGAUGGAAAGCAGGUAAAAGAUUCCUGCACUACCGAAAUGCGAUAUACAAUAUAUCAUGACGCAUCAGAGGAGUCUAAGCGAGCAAAUGGAAAAGUUCGUACCGCAAGGUGGAGUGAAAAAAUAGUAGCGAAGUAGACAAAUCAGGUGACAAGAAAAGUGAUAUAGGAGCAUAGAGGUACUCGUACCGUAAACCGACACAGGUGGGAAGAAAGAGAAUUUUCAGGCGAACGAGAGAAUCAUUGUUAAGGAACUCGGCAAAUUAACCCCGUAACUUAGGGAUAAGGGGAGCCAAUAGCGAUAUUGGUCGCAGAGAAAUGGCCCAAGCAACUGUUUAGCAAAAACACAGGUUUCUGCCAAAUCGAAAGAUGAAGUAUAGGAGCUGACGCCUGCCCAGUGCUGGAAGGUCAAGGGGAAGAGUAAACGUUUCGAUGUGAAGCUCUGAACUUAAGCCCCAGUGAACGGCGGCCGUAACUAUAACGGUCCUAAGGUAGCGAAAUUCCUUGUCAGGUAAGUUCUGACCCGCACGAAAGGCGUAAUGAUUUGGGCACUGUCUCGACAAUGAACUCGGCGAAAUUGUAGUACUAGUGAAGAUGCUAGUUACCUGUGAUAAGACAGAAAGACCCCAUGGAGCUUUACUGUAGCUUGAUAUUGAGACUAGGUAAGAGAUGUACAGAAUAGAUGGGAGACUAUGAGAUAAGGACGCCAGUUCUUAAGGAGUCACCUUUGGGAUACCAUCCUUCUUUUACUUGGAAUCUAACUAGUUACCAUGAUCUGGUAAUAGGACAGUGUCAGGUGGGCAGUUUGACUGGGGCGGUCGCCUCCUAAAGAGUAACGGAGGCGUUCAAAGGUCAGCUUAACACGGUCAGAAAUCGUGUGAUGACGUGCAAAGGCGUAAGCUGGCUUGACUGCGAGACUGACAGGUCGAGCAGACGCGAAAGCGGGACUUAGUGACCCGAUGGUUGUGAGUGGAAAUGCCAGAGCUCAACGGAUAAAAGUUACCCUGGGGAUAACAGGCUUAUCUCCCCCGAGAGUCCAUAUCGACGGGGAGGUUUGGCACCUCGAUGUCGGCUCAUCGCAUCCUGGAGCGGUAGUACGUUCCAAGGGUUGGGCUGUUCGCCCAUUAAAGCGGUACGCGAGCUGGGUUCAGAACGUCGUGAGACAGUUCGGUCCUUAUCUAUCACAGGCGUAAGAUAUUUGAGAGGAGUUGCCCCUAGUACGAGAGGACCGGGGUGAAGGAACCGAUGGUGCACCAGUUGUAUCACCAGAUGCAUAGCUGGGUAGCCAAGUUUCGAUGGGAUAAACGCUGAAAGCAUAUAAGCGUGAAGCCCACCUCAAGAUUAGAUAUCUCAUGGCGAAAGUCAGUAAGACCCCAAGAAGACUACUUGGUUGAUAGGCUGGAAGUGUAAGUGUAGUAAUAUAUUAAGCGGACCAGUACUAAUAGGUCGAGGGCUUGACCA